CGAACGCUGGCGGCAGGCCUAACACAUGCACGUCGAACGGAUCCUUCGGGAUUAGUGGCGGCCGGGUGAGUAACACGUGGGAACGUGCCCUUUGGUUCGGAACAACUCAGGGAAACUUGAGCUAAUACCGGAUGUGCCCUUCGGGGGAAAGAUUUAUCGCCAUUGGAGCGGCCCGCGUCUGAUUAGCUAGUUGGUGAGGUAACGGCCCACCAAGGCGACGAUCAGUAGCUGGUCUGAGAGGAUGAUCAGCCACACUGGGACUGAGACACGGCCCAGACUCCUACGGGAGGCAGCAGUGGGGAAUCUUGCGCAAUGGGCGAAAGCCUGACGCAGCCAUGCCGCGUGAAUGAUGAAGGUCUUAGGAUUGUAAAAUUCUUUCAGCGGGGACGAUAAUGACGGUACCCGCAGAAGAAGCUCCGGCUAACUUCGUG
This 431-nucleotide ribosomal RNA is filed under the name uncultured bacterium. RNAcentral's name for it is "partial 16S ribosomal RNA". It matches the Rfam family "Bacterial small subunit ribosomal RNA", at positions 30 to 507 of the family's 1533-position model. The record is from RNAcentral.